Molecule: long non-coding RNA, 684 nt
Organism: Cynara cardunculus var. scolymus (artichoke)
Lineage: Eukaryota; Viridiplantae; Streptophyta; Magnoliopsida; Asterales; Asteraceae
Exons: 4
Source: RefSeq, a predicted model, not a curated record
CAGACCUUUGCUUUCUUCAAUUGCUCCAACCUUUGCACAUUCCAGCCCUAAUUUCAGUCGUCUCACUUCCCUUGAACAAGAAGAACACCACAUACUGCAUCCGUCUUCGUCCCUCUCUCUCCCGUGCUCUCCUCCAUCGUCCCUGCUCUCUCUGGUGCUCUCCUCAUCCUGCUCUCCUCCGUCUUACCAGCAUCGUCGUCUUCUUUCAUCACAAAGUAGGUUUUCUUCAUUUCAAUUUUUCUACUCUAUUCAAUCAUCUCCUGGUUCGAUUCUUCAGCUUUGCUCUCAUAAGCCAAGUUCAAUUUUCAAUGGGCUUCAGCCUAAUUGUUUCUGUAACCCUUCUCUUUUUACCGAUUCAGUAGCUUUAGGGACCCCUUCAAUCGAUCUCGGUGGUUCAUUCUCUACUCAAGAGAUCCAAGAAUGCCAUGAUGCAGUAAGAUAAGUAGAAAGGAAGCUUCUUGAUUUUGCAAAGGAGGAACAUGAUGGUUGAAUCAGGAACCUGGAGAAAAGAUUUUAUUGUCGAUGGUUUAGAAAGUUACCUGUCAUAUAACCUGCCAAAGGGAGGAAGCUGGUGGGAGRAAGUUUGAUUGGAGGGAUAAAGGAGACACAAGAGAUGAUAGAUUUUGCAGCAAAACACAAUAUCACAGCCGCAAUCGWGCUCAUUYCRAUAGACUAUAUCAACAC